RNAcentral lists this small RNA (62 nucleotides) under Samsonia erythrinae. RNAcentral's name for it is "Pseudomonas sRNA P26". It matches the Rfam family "Pseudomonas sRNA P26". From Rfam's summary of the family: P26 is conserved across many Gammaproteobacteria species and appears to be consistently located between the DNA directed RNA polymerase (beta subunit) and 50S ribosomal protein L7/L12 genes. Lineage: Bacteria; Pseudomonadati; Pseudomonadota; Gammaproteobacteria; Enterobacterales; Pectobacteriaceae. The record is from RNAcentral.
AUCUUCCAGAUAGCAGCCUGAUUAACCAGGCUGAUGGCUGGUGACUUUUUAGUCACCAGCCU